GGGCUACUUAAAUAUUGGGCCAUA
This 24-nucleotide non-coding RNA is filed under the name Arabidopsis thaliana (thale cress). The record is from RNAcentral. Lineage: Eukaryota; Viridiplantae; Streptophyta; Magnoliopsida; Brassicales; Brassicaceae.